GAUGAACGCUGGCGGCGUGCCUAAUACAUGCAAGUCGAGCGAACAGACGAGGAGCUUUCUCCCCUGACGUUAGCGGCGGACGGGUGAGUAACACGUGGAUAACCUACCUAUAAGACUGGGAUAACAUCGGGAAACCGGAGCUAAUACCGCAUAAUAUAUUGAACCGCAUUGUUCAAUAGUUAAAGACGCUUUUUCUGUCACUAAUAGCUGGAUCCGCGCCGAAUUAGCUAGUUGGUAAGGUAACGGCUUACCAAGGCAACGAUGCGUAGCCGACCUGAGAGGGUGAUCGGCCACACUGGAACUGAGACACGGUCCAGACUCCUACGGGAGGCAGCAGUAGGGAAUCUUCCGCAAUGGGCGAAAGCCUGACGGAGCAACGCCGCGUGAGUGAUGAAGGUCUUCGGAUCGUAAAACUCUGUUAUUAGGAAAGAACAAAUGUGUAAGUAACUAUGCACGUCUUGACGGUACCUAAUCAGAAAGCCACGGCUAACUACGUG
Molecule: ribosomal RNA, 497 nt
Filed under: uncultured bacterium
Lineage: Bacteria
Description: partial 16S ribosomal RNA
Rfam family: Bacterial small subunit ribosomal RNA
Source: RNAcentral